Gasterosteus aculeatus aculeatus (three-spined stickleback) is the source of this 1403-nucleotide long non-coding RNA. The record is from Ensembl. Lineage: Eukaryota; Metazoa; Chordata; Actinopteri; Perciformes; Gasterosteidae.
CUCAGGGCAAAUGGUUUGCAUGGAUCUCGUGCCUUCCAAACACCUCCUGUUGCCCUAAAUAUCUUGUAAUGAAAGGCGCGGCCUCGGUAAUCCGUGACGGAAGGCAGUUUCAUGCUAGUUUAGCUUCCAUCACCUGUGUCGCUCCCUCCACCGCCCCACCGAGACAAGCCCUCGUCUCCGGCGCACUCGUCCUCCGUCGUCCUCCGUCGUCCCGUUUUUCCUUUUGCAGAGAAACCGCACGGGUCGUCUACACGUAAAACACGUCUCGUCGAGGUAAAUGAGGAUGAUUUUUUUGGUAUGGUUGCUCAUGCGAGCGUUUUAUUGUGAAAAAAGUAAGAUGCAGGUGUUUGAGUGUCCUCCAAAGCGGCCUGAAGAGAAGCCGCAUACGGCCAGUCCCUCUGAUUUCCUGUUAACGGUGUUUGUGUUGCGUCUUUUCGGCGAGCGAGACGCUGAUGAAGGUGGAUGGCAGCAGACAGCGGCUCGGAGCCUCGGCCCUCCGAGGAAGACCCUCUCACGCGUUCUGGCAGCCCUUCCAACAGAAUGGAUGAUUCUGGAACAGCAGCUCCCUCUUCACCUCGUGCCAAGACAUUUACAAUUCAAACAUGGACCAAGGUGCUGAAGAGGAAUGUUAGAAGCACUUUGAUUUGUUUUUAUGAGAGAUUUGGCAGAGGUUGGAUGGAAGCCCCUGGUGUCGCUCUUCAAAGGAAUAUAAAUUGCUGUUUUUGACAUUUUACUUUUUUCCCUCAGUGUUGAUUUCCGUUUUUGUCCCUACUUUUUUUUAUGGAACACUGAUAUACUACAUGUCAAGUCCAAAAGAGCUGUGUGGGCACUUUAGCCGUAUUUGUACAGUAUUUUACGUUCACUGCCCGCCGCCGUUUGGCACCUUCGAUAAACCAGCACUUGUUUAAUUGUGCAUGAAGCUAAUUAGUAUUGAAUACCUGACUUAGAGCAAUCUUUCGUACAAAGACGUAGAGUGUCUGACCUAACGUUGGAAUAAGAGAUUCACAUUAAUAUCCAACUUAUCGACCUUCCCACCACGCUAGUAUUAUUAUUUCCUUGCACACAGGAUUAACCUUGAUGCCGCGGCCUGGAGGGAGUUACUGCUGUGACUUGUUUCAUCUGGCGGAGGAGGAAAGAAGAUGACACCGCAACGCUGCUGCAGAUGCAAAACGGAAGACGUUGUCUGCAAAUAACAAGUGAGGAAACCACCAGUUCUUCCUCAAACAAGUACGGGAAUAAACAGUCAUGGAGAUCCAACAUUGUGUCUAGACGUCCGUGGUCAGAGUGGCGCACUUGAUUUGUUUGCUAUUUAAUGCUGAGCAAAUAGAGGACAGUGUUUUUUUGUUUUUUUAACGAUUUCGGGUUUGAUUCACUGCCUGCUUUGGCUGAAAAUGACAAUUACA